RNAcentral lists this ribosomal RNA (429 nucleotides) under Acidobacteriota bacterium. RNAcentral's name for it is "Acidobacteria bacterium partial 16S ribosomal RNA". It matches the Rfam family "Bacterial small subunit ribosomal RNA", at positions 355 to 776 of the family's 1533-position model. The record is from RNAcentral. Lineage: Bacteria; Pseudomonadati; Acidobacteriota.
UGGGGAAUUUUGGACAAUGGGGGAAACCCUGAUCCAGCCAUCCCGCGUGUGCGAUGAAGGCCUUCGGGUUGUAAAGCCCUUUUGGCGGGAAAAAAAGUUCAUGGGUUAUACCCCGGGGAACCUGAGGGUACCGGAGAAAUAACCACGGCCAACCUACGUGCCAGCAGCCGCGGUAAUACGUAGGGUGCAAGCGUUAAUCGGAAUUACUGGGCGUAAAGUGUGCGCAGGCGGUUCGGAAAGAAAGAUGUGAAAUCCCAGAGCUCAACUUUGGAACUGCAUUUUUAACUACCGGGCUAGAGUGUGUCAGAGGGAGGUGGAAUUCCGCGUGUAGCAGUGAAAUGCGUAGAUAUGCGGAGGAACACCGAUGGCGAAGGCAGCCUCCUGGGAUAACACUGACGCUCAUGCACGAAAGCGUGGGGAGCAAACAGG